ACGGAGGGUGCAAGCGUUGUUCGGAUUGACUGGGCGUAAAGGGCGUGUAGGCGGUUAGCCAAGUCUGGUGUGAAAGCCCGGGGCUCAGCCCCGGAAGUGCAUCGGAAACUAGUUAGCUGGAGCGCGAUAGAGGAGGGUGGAAUUCCUGGUGUAGCGGUGAAAUGCGUAGAUAUCAGGAGGAACACCGGCGGCGAAGGCGGCCCUCUGGAUCGUUGCUGACGCUGAGACGCGAAAGCGUGGGGAGCAAACAGG
RNAcentral lists this ribosomal RNA (252 nucleotides) under uncultured bacterium. RNAcentral's name for it is "partial 16S ribosomal RNA". It matches the Rfam family "Bacterial small subunit ribosomal RNA", at positions 525 to 776 of the family's 1533-position model. The record is from RNAcentral.